Molecule: long non-coding RNA, 1773 nt
Organism: Daucus carota subsp. sativus
Lineage: Eukaryota; Viridiplantae; Streptophyta; Magnoliopsida; Apiales; Apiaceae
Exons: 5
Source: RefSeq, a predicted model, not a curated record
CUUCUCUACGCUAGCCACAAUCACUAUGGCUGUUCCCUUGAAUCCACAAAUGAAAAUUGAUCAGGCAAACUACACAUGACGAUCUUGCAUCAAUUGAAGGUGCCCUGGGCCCUGGCAUUGCUCAAAAGACGUCUGAAAAACCGACGUUUAUCGAUAAAAUUAUACUGUUCAUUACAAAUAUUAAAUUACCACUUGUCGGCUUUCAUGAGAGUGCUGCAAGAAUGAGAAAGCGAGGUAGGCACAACCUGGACUCGGCCAUUUUGGAUGUUUCGCAACGCGAGGACGCCUAGAUCUCUAAUCGCACCUUCGCUCAUCGUCUCGCUGCUUCCGAGCAUUUGAAGUUCUUACUUGCUUUGACAGAUACUGAAAUUCUGAUAGCUUCUGUGAUGUUAAAUAAGAAUACAGGAGGGAGGACUAAGCUUGUUACCUCCGGAUUUACAAAAUGAAACCGACAGAUCACAGUACCGGUUGCAGGUGAAAGAUGAUCUCUCACUUAUUGAGCUGUGUAUUAAACAGUACAGAGUUCAUCCCGAGCAUAAAUUUUUGUCGUUAACCAUAAUUAGAUAUGCUUCGGGGCUCUACAGUUUAAACAAAUCGGAUAUUUUGUGGGUUGAUAGACAGAUGCAUGUUCUGACAGCCUUCAAGCUCUAUACAGACUCAGGGAUUACCCAUAAAUGAUCCUCAGCCACCACUCAUUCGCUGGGAAAUUCAAGCAAGAUAACGGAGUUCUUGACAGGAUAGAUCGGGACUUACUGAGCAGAGAAAACGGAGGGUAAAAAAGGUAGCUUGAAUGAGAAGAAUGGAGAGGUCUGGCCUGGGUUUAAGGGAGGACUUCUUUGAGAGGUCAGAGACGAUACCACGAAAGAGAAAGUCCCAGUGGAAGGAGUGACAGGAAUUACAGAGAUUAUAUCAAUGACAUAAUAAUAGAAAUCAUAUUGAUGGCAAAGAUUAUACGAAUUAUAUUGAGGACAGAAGUCCAGAUAGCAUAUAUGAGAGAUAUGGAACUCUUAGGAGACGUUCACCUGCUCACUUUGAGAUAGUCGAUAACAGGAAAUAAAAUGAUAGAUAUGGAAGAGCUUUAGGACUUCUAGAUCAGACACCAGUAUGUCCCAUAACCUCAAAGGAUAAGGGAGAAGGCAGACAAUAUGACACCGGAAACACAAAGCAUAACAGAGAAGGCAAACCUUCCAGUGUUACGCCCUCUUAAAGAUAUUAUGGGUGAGAGCCUUCCAACUCUAAUAGUCAGUGAUCCCUCUAAGGCUAAGGAUUCUAAUGUCGCUGCUAAUGAUCAGGUGAGGACCAUCAAUGCCAAUGAUACUUUAUUUUCAUUAUAAGAAAAACAGAUAUAGUAUUGUUCUUGAGAAAGGGAGAAGUUUGGCCAGGAACAGGUGCCAGGAGGCUCAGAAGUUUGCUGAGGAAAACGUUGUAUGCUGAUGAUUUCGAAAUGAAGCAAUGUAAAUUAUCAUUUUGCUCUUCUUUGUGGUUACAUUUUGUACCUAUCAAAUUCGUUGGUGUUUGUAAAACCUUUUUGUAAAUAUAAAUUGACAUUAUUACAAAUGAGAAACCGGAUUGAAAUUGAUGUGCGCAUAUUCAAUAAUUCUAGAAAUAUCAAAGGUUUGUCAUACUAAUUUCAUGGAUAUAUUAUUUGAGUGCCCUUAUGGUUAGUUUUCAUUAUUUGAAAUUUAUAACAUUAAAUAGAGUAUAUCUUAAAUAUAUAUAACAGAAAUUUUUCAAUCGCGCGGAGCGCGUUUUCCUCCCUAGUUAUAUUAUAAU